GACAGAGGUGCCAAGCGUUAGGCGGAAUCACUGGGCUUAAAGCGUGUGUAGGCGGAUGUCUAAGUACCUUGUGAAAUCCCACGGCUCAACCGUGGAACUGCUUGGUAUACUGGAUGUCUUGAGCCAGCUAGGGGCUACCGGAACAAAUGGUGGAGCGGUGAAAUGCGUAGAUAUCAUUUGGAACGCCAAUGGUGAAAACAGGUAGCUGGGGCUGUGCUGACGCUGAGACACGAAAGCCAGGGGAGCGAACGGG
RNAcentral lists this ribosomal RNA (253 nucleotides) under uncultured bacterium. Its description in RNAcentral is "partial 16S ribosomal RNA". It matches the Rfam family "Bacterial small subunit ribosomal RNA", at positions 524 to 776 of the family's 1533-position model. The record is from RNAcentral.